AACGAACGCUGGCGGCAUGCCUAACACAUGCAAGUCGAACGAGACCUUCGGGUCUAGUGGCCCACGGGUGCGUAACGCGUGGGAACCUGCCUUUAGGGUCGGACUAACUCAGAGAAAUUUGAGCUAAUACCGGAUGAUGUCUUCGGACCAAAGAUUUAUCGCCUUUGGAUGGGCCCGCGUUGGAUUAGCUAGUUGGUGGGGUAAAGGCCUACCAAGGCGACGAUCCAUAGCUGGUCUGAGAGGAUGAUCAGCCACACUGGGACUGAGACACGGCCCAGACUCCUACGGGAGGCAGCAGUGGGGAAUAUUGGACAAUGGGCGAAAGCCUGAUCCAGCAAUGCCGCGUGAGUGAUGAAGGCCUUAGGGUUGUAAAGCUCUUUUAACCGAGAUGAUAAUGACAGUAUCGGGAGAAUAAGCUCCGGCUAACUCCGUG
RNAcentral lists this ribosomal RNA (433 nucleotides) under uncultured bacterium. Its description in RNAcentral is "partial 16S ribosomal RNA". It matches the Rfam family "Bacterial small subunit ribosomal RNA", at positions 29 to 507 of the family's 1533-position model. The record is from RNAcentral.